AUACAGAUGACGAGCCCCAAACGGGACGAAAUGCGUAUCCUGGAU
Molecule: non-coding RNA, 45 nt
Filed under: Trichobilharzia regenti
Lineage: Eukaryota; Metazoa; Platyhelminthes; Trematoda; Strigeidida; Schistosomatidae
Source: RNAcentral